CGCCGCAGCAAACCUAAAAAUAAUUACCAAAUGCAUAAGAAAAACAUUGACAUAUGGCUAUUUGCUUCUCACGUACUAGAAGCUAUCACUAAAAUAACAUUAAAGCACUAUAGGACAAUCCUUCUCAUUUAACUGUCACAAAAUACAUGCCAGCCCAUUGUCCCAGUAGAAACCAUAAGUUUUUUCGAUAGGUAGAAACCGUAAGUUAUGUCAGAGGAAGUAUCAUCCCAUUUAUCUGUGCUCCCCAUCGGAAUGAAAAAUCACACACACACAAAUAAACUCACACAAGCCUUAUGGUUCAAUUUUACAGGAUCAUAUCCAUAAACACAAAAAGAACUAUCAAAAAGCAGAUUCUCCACUUAAUAGAUAGAAGCAUACAACAAAAAUAAUGAAGUUUUAGAUUUCUCUAAGAAAGGAAACUAGGUCCACUCUAG
RNAcentral lists this unclassified non-coding RNA (434 nucleotides) under Hevea brasiliensis (rubber tree). The record is from RNAcentral. Lineage: Eukaryota; Viridiplantae; Streptophyta; Magnoliopsida; Malpighiales; Euphorbiaceae.